This is a non-coding RNA of Triticum urartu, 2903 nucleotides long. The record is from RefSeq and is a predicted model, not a curated record. Lineage: Eukaryota; Viridiplantae; Streptophyta; Magnoliopsida; Poales; Poaceae.
AUAGGUUAACGCCCCCCUCCCCCCACAAAAAAAAGGGUUUCAUCUCUUCAAGCAGGGCAGGCCGAGCCACAGGUUCCUCCGCACCCUCGGCCUUCCCUCCCCUCACCAGUUUCCAGCCGCGAGCGAACCCGACGCGAGUGCGGUUCGAGGGAGAGAGAAGAGGGGACUAGCACCAUGGCCGCCAGGCUGCUGCUCCUCUCCUUCGAUUGCCCGGCCGUCGCUGGCGGGCGGCGGUCUCGUCUGUCUGCAGUGCCACGGAUGUCUUCCGGUGCUCCCCUCGUGCGGCCCCCAGCCUCAUCCGUCGGCGCGUUCGCGGUCACCGCCGCUAGAGGCAACCUGCCGCACCACACCUCCGUGGUUGUGGAGGGUGGUGGAGUUUACACUGUUCGUGACUUUAUGACUAAAAGGGAACAACUCCAUGUUGUGAAACCAUCCACUUCAGUAGAUGAAGCUCUUGAGAGGCUGGUGGAGCAUCGAAUAACUGGCUUUCCUGUUACCGAUGAUCACUGGAAUUUGGUUGGUGUGGUCUCAGAUUAUGAUCUGUUAGCACUGGACUUGAUAUCAGGAAAUGGACAGGCUGAAGCGGACAUAUUUCCUGAGGUGGACAGCACUUGGAAGACUUUCCAUCAGAUACAAAAGCUCUUAAGCAAAACCAAUGGGAAAGUAGUUAGUGAUGUUAUGACUUCUGCACCUCUUGUGGUGCGUGAAACUACUAACCUUGAAGAUGCUGCAAGGUUACUUCUUGUUACUAAAUACCGCAGGCUGCCAGUAGUCGACAGUUCGGGCAAAUUGGUUGGAAUCAUCACAAGAGGGAACGUCGUCAGAGCUGCUCUUGAGUUUAAGAAAAAUGUUGAAGGGAGUAUUUGAAGUGGAACUGUAGAUGAUCCUUUCCGAAGGUGGAACUUGAACAUAUUGCUAGUAGGCAAGCAUACUGAAAAAAUUGUUUACACAACAUGCUAGUUUAAUUGCAGUUGGGAUACAUGUAUUGUGAGCAUCAUGCAUCAUCCUUAAAUUUCAAAAUUUUGAAUUGAGGGAAUUUUCAAAGCCUCUGCUAAAUAAAGGGCAAAGAACCCAAAAAAAUGCAUUCAAUGUUUCAAAAAUGCCUUUAAAAUAGUUCUAAGAAUUUUGGCGAGUUAUAUAUCAAACCAAAAUUUAGGAACAUUUUUGAGGAAUUAUUUUUGGGACUUUGAAUUUAAAUGAUAUUGUAUUUGUAUUUGUAUUUAUAUUAUAUAAUCAGAAUAUAAUUUCAAAUAAUUUAUGUGCCUUUGGAUAAUUCUACUGUGCAACAUAAAAAUAUUCAGGGGAAUUUUGUCACUGGGUUUGAAUUUGUUAUAUUUGAAAACAAUGACAAAAGAAAUAAAUAAAAGAAAACAUAAAGAAAAUAAGGAAAAGCAGAAAUUGUACCUGGUUUACCUGUGCGGCCUAGAACUGUUGUAGUUGGGGCCCAACCCAACUCCCCGUCGUCCCCUACCUCUUAGUAGGAGCAGCUGCGUGUGCGCACGCGCACGCUCACGUCCACCUCCUCCUUGCUUGCUUUCCCGCCCAUGCCUCCUCUAUCCUCUUCCUCGCUCUCUAGCCCUUUCGUCUUUCCUACUGCUCUCUCUCUCUCUCUCUCUCUCUCUCUCAGCCUUGAGCACCCUCAGAGAGCAUUGUCACAGUUCAUUGCAGCCAUCGUGCAACCCACGCCUCGCCUACAUGUCCCCGAGCUCUGCGUCGACUUCGCGCGCCUCUUCGCCCAAUCACGCAAGGCCGGACGCCCGGAAGCGUCGCCAUUGAGCUCGUCCCUGCCGCCUCUGCUCGAAGACCGCUGGCGUUGAUCCAUUGUCUCCAGCGUCUCCUCCGCCACAUCGAGCAUCUCUUUGUGAUCGUUGUGAGCUCCUCUACCGCUUCUCUCUCUCUCCCCGUGCUCGAUUGUGUUGCAUAGCCGUUGCUUCCAUCAAGCCCGAUAACUCCUCGCCGUCGGCUUUGAUGUUGACGUAGCCACAGCCGCCAUCACUUGCGUUUGAGUACUGGAAUGUGCUCGGCACCUCCCUAGCAACCCGCGGAGCCCGGAUACGCUCCGUAGUGCCAAACUGAGCAUACCCAUAGCUCCAGCCGCCGCAUACCUCAGCGCCGGCGCUGUUUUCGGCCACUUCAAGUUGCAUCGCCAUGAUGUGCCUAUUCAUUCAUGCUUGCUUGUUAUGCCCGCUAUGCUUAGAGUUGUGUCAGGUCUGAUUCAUCCGGGAUGAAUUGGAAUGAUGGUGAACAUGUCUUACUGUGUGAGGGCUAAAUGUGUGAACACGGUUUGGUAAAAGUAGCAAUGAGAGGCCAUGUAGAAGUGCAUGGUGGGUUGUCUCAUUGAGACCGUCUUUAAGAACUGAGUCAUGUGUAUGUUAUCCAAGAACAACUAUUACCACACAUUGGGCCCUGAAAUAUGACCCCACUCGACUUAUUAAUCGCCUUGAUCUCUGUCCAAGAGUUAUAACCAGUUUCUAGUGUUUAUUGGUUGUGCUAGGGGCCGUGCUUAGCGCUGACCGAAGGGGUAGGCUUUGAUGUGGCAGGCACUUUGGCACGGUGUACCAAGCGUAGUACCAUCCGACGAGGUGGACUUGGGAACCCUAUACACAUCGUUUGAGGUCGUAAUGGAAACAUCGGUCGGACUUCCAUUGCAGAGGAGACUUCAGGCUCAUUAGUAAUUCCACAUGGGCUUGGAUGAGUAGCUUGGGAAUCCCAGACGGAGGUAUGGUUUCUUUGGAGGAUCUUGUAGGUAGACGAGCUUCUAGCCUUCUUUCUUUCCAGCCGUCUGUCCUCAGACAGGUUUAUGCUUCGCUUGUUGCUUGUAUGACUUUGUAUGUUGGGUCAUGAGACCCAUGUUUGUAAUAUCAUGUUUUAUAUAUUCCAAAAUAAUUCUCCAUUGAUUUUUA